This 293-nucleotide ribosomal RNA is filed under the name uncultured bacterium. RNAcentral describes it as "partial 16S ribosomal RNA". The record is from RNAcentral.
GGACUACAGGGGUAUCUAAUCCCGUUCGCUCCCCACGCUUUCGCACCUCAGCGUCAGUCCUAGGCCAGGUAGCCGCCUUCGCCACCGGUGUUCCUCCUGAUAUCUACGCAUUUCACCGCUACACCAGGAAUUCCACUACCCUCUCCCGGACUCAAGUCCCCCAGUAUCCAAGGCACUGUUCACGUUGAGCGCUGAACCUUUCACCCCAGACUUAAAGGACCGCCUACGCGCGCUUUACGCCCAGUAACUUCGGACAACGCUCGCCCCCUACGUAUUACCGCGGCUGCUGGCAC